UACGUAGGUGGCAAGCGUUGUCCGGAUUUACUGGGCGUAAAGAGCGCGCAGGCGGUCGGAUAAGUCGAAUGUGAAAGCCCCCGGCUCAACUGGGGAGGGUCAUUCGAUACUGUUCGACUCGAAGGCAGGAGAGGGGAGUGGAAUUCCCGGUGUAGUGGUGAAAUGCGUAGAUAUCAGGAAGAACACCCGUGGCGAAAGCGGCUCUCUGGAACGGUACUGACGCUGAGACGCGAAAGCGUGGGGAGCGAACAGG
RNAcentral lists this ribosomal RNA (253 nucleotides) under uncultured bacterium. RNAcentral describes it as "partial 16S ribosomal RNA". It matches the Rfam family "Bacterial small subunit ribosomal RNA", at positions 524 to 776 of the family's 1533-position model. The record is from RNAcentral.